UUUAGAUUUAAAAUUGUAAAAUUUGAGUAGUAAUAGUUAUGAUCUUGAAACUUAAAGAAUUUGGCGGUAUUUUAGUCUAUUUAGAGGAAUCUGUCCCAUUAUCGAUAUUCCGCGUUGAACCUUACUUAAUUAAUUUAUAUGUAUACCGCCGUAUAUUGAAGAUCUUAUUAGGGUUAAUUUUCUUAAUAUAUUAAUAUAUAAUAUUUCAGGUCAAGGUGCAGUUAAUAAUUAAGUGGUGAUGGAUUACAAUAUAUUUAUAGACGGAAUAAAUAUUGAAAUUUAUUUAUGAAGGUGGAUUUAAUAGUAAUUUUGAUAAGAAUAUUAAAGUGAUUAUGGCUCUAGAAUGUGU
RNAcentral lists this ribosomal RNA (349 nucleotides) under Pseudophoraspis sp. MNHN BL6. RNAcentral's name for it is "partial 12S ribosomal RNA". Lineage: Eukaryota; Metazoa; Arthropoda; Insecta; Blattodea; Blaberidae. The record is from RNAcentral.